Molecule: ribosomal RNA, 492 nt
Filed under: uncultured bacterium
Lineage: Bacteria
Description: partial 16S ribosomal RNA
Rfam family: Bacterial small subunit ribosomal RNA
Source: RNAcentral
GAUGAACGCUAGCUACAGGCUUAACACAUGCAAGUCGAGGGGAAACGGCAUCGAAAGCUUGCUUUUGAUGGGCGUCGACCGGCGCACGGGUGAGUAACGCGUAUCCAACCUGCCCAUCACUUGGGAAUAACCUUGCGAAAGUAAGACUAAUGCCCAAUGACAUCCCACGAAGGCAUCCGAAUGGGAUUAAAGAUUUAUCGGUGAUGGAUGGGGAUGCGCCUGAUUAGCUUGUUGGCGGGGUGACGGCCCACCAAGGCAACGAUCAGUAGGGGUUCUGAGAGGAAGGUCCCCCACAUUGGAACUGAGACACGGUCCAAACUCCUACGGGAGGCAGCAGUGAGGAAUAUUGGUCAAUGGGCGAGAGCCUGAACCAGCCAAGUAGCGUGCAGGAUGACGGCCCUAUGGGUUGUAAACUGCUUUUAUAAGGGAAUAAAGUGGGUCACGUGUGACUUUUUGCAUGUACCUUAUGAAUAAGGACCGGCUAAUUCCGUG